This is a long non-coding RNA of Bombus impatiens (common eastern bumble bee), 1688 nucleotides long. RefSeq lists it as uncharacterized. The transcript has 2 exons. Lineage: Eukaryota; Metazoa; Arthropoda; Insecta; Hymenoptera; Apidae. The record is from RefSeq and is a predicted model, not a curated record.
ACAUAAAUGGGUUUGCUUUCUUUUUCCUUUGUAUAAACGUGUGGUGACGCCAAGUACAAUUUUUCGUAUAUAAGUAUAUGUGAUAUAUGUAUAUAUCAAACAUAUGUAAGCAUAAAUACAUAAAAUAUAAGUGUAAAAUAUAAAAAGUAUAAAAUUGUAGAGAUUUACGUGUAGAGGAUGGUUGUUACGUGAAGAUUAAAGGACAAGAUUGCUCGAUGUUGGAACCGUCGAAUAUAUUUAGAAUAAUAAAUUAAUGUACAACCUGUAUACGUGAGUCGUUAGUACAAAGUAUAAAUCGCAAAAUAAAAUCGCGGAUAAACACUCGUUAAUGCUCGUCGCGCAACUCGGUAGACACUGUUAGAUACUCGGUCUGCUUGCGAUCGUGACCGUUUAUUUAUACUGGUCGGGGGGAAGUCGGAAAAUAUGAAUUCGUCUUCAUUCGACGGUUGUAUGUAGCGGCGACAUUCUUUUGCCCGAAGUCUAUUUGUUCUUACAUUACUUGUAUCCUAACGAUCUUGAUACUCCAAGGCAAGACAACAACAUGAUCUGAAUUGUCCUUUGACUCAUGUGCCGCUACAAAACUAUAAGUAAACAUAAGUGGAAUAUAAAUAAUUUAGACAUCUAACACGCCUUGAGAAGCCUUAGAUAAGUUUGAAAAUUGAUAUGGAUCAAGCAAGAUAAGAUAAUCUAUAGAUUAAACCAUUAUGUUUGAAUUGACAUAUAUAUGGUGAAAGUGUGAACUUACAAGGGUGCCUGGUUCUUCUCUCAGGAGCAUAGAUGUUAAUGCUCUUAAGAAUUUUAAGACAGUGGAUCUGUUUAUUGAAUAUCAUGAUUGUAAAUUAGAUCUGACUUUUGACAUUGACCUCCCGUCGUGCAUACGCAUGUCUCGCACCAGGAGCAUCGAAUGAAGAAAUGUUGGGCCAUUUGAACGCUAGAGGCGGUGUUUUGUGAGGAAUACUUUUGGCUGAAUUUAUAUCAUACUCACAAUUCAUCCAGGUCUGUUCCAGCUGUAAGGUCAUCAGAAUUUAUUUGUCUCCAAUAGUUGUUUGUUUUUUCAACAAUGAAUUCUACCAGUUCUUCAGAUACAAACAACUGGAAGUAUUGCAGAAAUCCCCAGGAUCUUAUAUUUGUUUGAAUACCCGAUUGCUGUUUUGUAAAAUCAUGAAUUAUUAGCCUAAAUUUUUUCGAAGUCCAUGUAAUAUCUGACUGGUUGGUAUUUCGUACGUUAACGUUAUCAGUUUCUUGAGAUUCUGAUGUACUAAGUACAUUUAAUAGUCGUUUUCUUUGAUUUGCUGUAUUUAUAUGUGAUUCAUUUUCAUCACAACUUUCCGAAGCAGUCUAGUUCACCAGUUGCCGUUUUUUUAGAUUUUUAUACUUCAUUUUAAAGAGUACCGAAACCUACAUCACUUAUUAAUAUUUGAAACGGAUAGGAGGAAUUAAAGAUCCUCUGGACGUAACAACUUAAUAACCUGGUUUACUUAUUUUUCUGAACUUCUUCUUAUGCGCUAGUUUAACAUAAUUAAGAUGUCAAUUCGCGUGUCCUUACUGUCACUGGCCAAUACGACGCGUUUAGUGAAUGCGGGCUAUAUCCGGCGUAAGUCGAUGUGAAGUAUUUUGUGAAUGCCGGAUAUAAUCGGCGCUAGGCGUGAAAGAGUUAAAAAUGAAAAAUUUUAAAAUGUUACGUGGAA